GCGCAGCAGUCGCGAAUUUUUCUCAAUGGGGGAAACCCUGAAGGAGCGACGCCGCGUGGAGGAUGAAGGCUUUCGGGUUGUAAACUCCUGUCAUUUGGGAACAAGUUGCACACGUUAACUGCGUGGGCAUUGAUAGUACCAGAAGAGGAAGGGACGGCUAACUCUGUGCCAGCAGCCGCGGUAAUACAGAGGUCCCAAGCGUUGUUCGGAUUCAUUGGGCGUAAAGGGUGCGUAGGUGGCGCUGUAAGUCGGGUGUGAAAUUUCGAGGCUUAACCUCGAAACUGCACUCGAUACUGCGGUGCUUGAGGACUGGAGAGGAGACUGGAAUUCAUGGUGUAGCAGUGAAAUGCGUAGAGAUCAUGAGGAAGACCAGUGGCGAAGGCGGGUCGUCUGGACAGUUCCUGACACUGAGGCACGAAGGCCAGGGGAGCAAACGGGAUUAGAUACCCGCGUAGUCC
This 458-nucleotide ribosomal RNA is filed under the name uncultured organism. RNAcentral's name for it is "bacterial SSU rRNA". It matches the Rfam family "Bacterial small subunit ribosomal RNA", at positions 346 to 796 of the family's 1533-position model. The record is from RNAcentral.